UUAAAAGCGUUGAAGAGGAGUAGUACACUCUGAUCCUGUUACAGAGAGCUGGCGGUUGGUGCAAGUCAGUACAGGAAAAAGUGGAACUCGCCUUGGAGCUGUGUCGGUGAAGGUUGUUGCUCUAGCUGAUGUCGUGAACCUGCGUGAAUGGUUGUUGAGGGUUCUGUAUGAUUGUUUGCAGAACUGAAACAGGGUGGUACCGCGGAGCAUAUAAGCUUUCGCCCCUGAU
This 229-nucleotide non-coding RNA is filed under the name Desulfobacteraceae bacterium. Its description in RNAcentral is "T-box sequence". It matches the Rfam family "T-box leader". Rfam says of the family: Uncharged tRNA acts as the effector for transcription antitermination of genes in the T-box leader family. Lineage: Bacteria; Pseudomonadati; Thermodesulfobacteriota; Desulfobacteria; Desulfobacterales; Desulfobacteraceae. The record is from RNAcentral.